GAUGAGCGCUGGCGGCGUGCCUAAUACACGCAAGUCGAGCGAACGGACGAGAAGCUUGCUUCUCUGAUGUUAGCGGCGGACGGGUGAGUAACACGUGGAUAACCUACCUAUAAGACUGGGAUAAUUUCGGGAAACCGGAGCUAAUACCGGAUAAUAUUUUGAACCGCAUGGUUCAAAAGUGAAAGACGGUCUUGCUGUCACUUAUAGAUGGAUCCGCGCUGCAUUAGCUAGUUGGUAAGGUAACGGCUUACCAAGGCAACGAUGCAUAGCCGACCUGAGAGGGUGAUCGGCCACACUGGAACUGAGACACGGUCCAGACUCCUACGGGAGGCAGCAGUAGGGAAUCUUCCGCAAUGGGCGAAAGCCUGACGGAGCAACGCCGCGUGAGUGAUGAAGGUCUUCGGAUCGUAAAACUCUGUUAUUAGGGAAGAACAUAUGUGUAAGUAACUGUGCACAUCUUGACGGUACCUAAUCAGAAAGCCACGGCUAACUACGUG
RNAcentral lists this ribosomal RNA (497 nucleotides) under uncultured bacterium. RNAcentral describes it as "partial 16S ribosomal RNA". It matches the Rfam family "Bacterial small subunit ribosomal RNA", at positions 28 to 507 of the family's 1533-position model. The record is from RNAcentral.